GACGAACGCUGGCGGCGUGCUUAACACAUGCAAGUCGAACGAAGAGCGAUGGAAGCUUGCUUCUAUCAAUCUUAGUGGCGAACGGGUGAGUAACGCGUAAUCAACCUGCCCUUCAGAGGGGGACAACAGUUGGAAACGACUGCUAAUACCGCAUACGAUCUAAUCUCGGCAUCGAGGAUAGAUGAAAGGUGGCCUCUACAUGUAAGCUAUCACUGAAGGAGGGGAUUGCGUCUGAUUAGCUAGUUGGAGGGGUAACGGCCCACCAAGGCGAUGAUCAGUAGCCGGUCUGAGAGGAUGAACGGCCACAUUGGGACUGAGACACGGCCCAGACUCCUACGGGAGGCAGCAGUGGGGAAUCUUCCGCAAUGGACGAAAGUCUGACGGAGCAACGCCGCGUGAGCGAUGACGGCCUUCGGGUUGUAAAGCUCUGUUAAUCGGGACGAAAGGCCUUCUUGCGAAUAGGGAGAAGGAUUGACGGUACCGGAAUAGAAAGCCACGGCUAACUACCUG
RNAcentral lists this ribosomal RNA (510 nucleotides) under uncultured bacterium. RNAcentral's name for it is "partial 16S ribosomal RNA". It matches the Rfam family "Bacterial small subunit ribosomal RNA", at positions 28 to 507 of the family's 1533-position model. The record is from RNAcentral.